Molecule: long non-coding RNA, 260 nt
Filed under: Brassica napus (rape)
Lineage: Eukaryota; Viridiplantae; Streptophyta; Magnoliopsida; Brassicales; Brassicaceae
Description: long non-coding RNA (BNAP_LNC009857)
Source: RNAcentral
GGGACACUACCCCACAGCUCCUAUGGGUGCCUAGCGUAGAACUACUACCCCACGGCACACCCCCUUAUACUCUAUAUGAUCACCCAAUCCCAUACUUAUACUUAACGUCAUUCACUUAUCCAUUCACAUCACGUCUCAACAUCUUAUCAUCACUUUCUUGACAACCCUAGCAUGCCUACGACCUCAUCACAACAACCAUACUACCUUUUAUAACAACUAGAUCAAUCACAUAUCACAUCACACUUACACACAAGUUCUAG